RNAcentral lists this small nucleolar RNA (103 nucleotides) under Tetranychus urticae (two-spotted spider mite). RNAcentral's name for it is "snoRNA tetur04g09443". Lineage: Eukaryota; Metazoa; Arthropoda; Arachnida; Trombidiformes; Tetranychidae. The record is from RNAcentral.
UGAGGAAGAUGAUGAAGUUGAACCGAGUUGGUGAUGGUGAUGAGAUUCUGAUGAUAGAGUCCGACUUUUUUUGGACAUGUCUAAGGGUUGAUCACAUUCUUCU